RNAcentral lists this ribosomal RNA (1633 nucleotides) under metagenome. Its description in RNAcentral is "bacterial LSU rRNA". It matches the Rfam family "Bacterial large subunit ribosomal RNA", at positions 1264 to 2925 of the family's 2925-position model. The record is from RNAcentral.
AAAGGAGCUGUGGACUGUAUAGAAGAGAGAAUGCCGGAAUGAGUAGCGAGAGGAAGGUGAGAAUCCUUCCGGCCGAAUAUCUAAGGUUUCCAGAGUAAAGCUGAUCUGCUCUGGGUAAGUCGGGGCCUAAGGCCAGGUCGAAAGACGUAACCGAUGGACAACAGGUUGAAAUUCCUGUACCGCGAUAUAACAGAACUGUGGGGACACGUGUGGAGAGCACAAGCCGGGAAUGGAAAGCCCGGCGCAAGCAAGGUAGGAGUCGUACCGGCAAAUCCGUACGGCAAUCCGAAGAUGUGAUGCGUACCGAAUUAAGAGUAGGGAAGAGUGUGAGCCAUGCGUCAAGAAAAGCCGCUAUUGUUUGUAUCGCGCCCGUACCGUAACCGACACAGGUGGAUGAGGAGAGAAUCCUAAGGCCGACGGGAGAAGCAUUGUUAAGGAACUCGGCAAAAUGACUCCGUAACUUCGGGAGAAGGAGUGCCACUGAGAGGUGGCCGCAGAGAAUUGGCCCAAGCAACUGUUUAGCAAAAACACAGGUCUAUGCAAAACCGAAAGGUGAAGUAUAUGGGCUGACGCCUGCCCGGUGCUGGAAGGUUAAGGGGAGAGGUUAGCGCAAGCGAAGCUUUGAACUAAGCCCCAGUAAACGGCGGCCGUAACAAUAACGGUCCUAAGGUAGCGAAAUUCCUUGUCGGGUAAGUUCCGACCCGCACGAAAGGCGUAAUGAUUUGGGCACUGUCUCAACAAUGCACCCGGUGAAAUUGAAAUACCAGUGAAGAUGCUGGUUACCUGCGCCAGGACGGAAAGACCCCAUGGAGCUUUACUCCAGCUUGAUACUGGGAUUCGGUAUUGCAUGUACAGGAUAGGUGGGAGGCUAAGAAGCGGUAACGCCAGUUGCCGUGGAGCUGUUGUUGGGAUACCACCCUUGCAGUACUGGGUUUCUAACCAGCGGCCUUAAACAGGUCGGGGGACAAUGUCAGGUGGGGAGUUUGACUGGGGCGGUCGCCUCCGAAAGGGUAUCGGAGGCGCUCAAAGGUUCCCUCAGAAUGGUCGGAAACCAUUCGAAGAGUGCAAAGGCAGAAGGGAGCUUGACUGCGACACCGACGGGUGGAGCAGGUACGAAAGUAGGACUUAGUGAUCCGGUGGUAUAAAGUGGGAUUGCCAUCGCUCAACGGAUAAAAGCUACCCUGGGAUAACAGGCUUAUCACUCCCAAGAGUUCACAUCGACGGAGUGGUUUGGCACCUCGAUGUCGGCUCAUCGCAUCCUGGGGCUGAAGUAGGUCCCAAGGGUUGGGCUGUUCGCCCAUUAAAGCGGUACGCGAGCUGGGUUCAGAACGUCGUGAGACAGUUCGGUCCCUAUCCGGCGUGGGCGUAGGAUAUUUGAGAGGAGCUGUCCUUAGUACGAGAGGACCGGGAUGGACUGGCCGCUGGUUGAUCUGUUGUUCCGCCAGGAGCAUAGCAGAGUAGCCAAGCCGGGACGGGAUAAAUGCUGAAGGCAUCUAAGCGUGAAGCCCCCCUCAAGAUGAGAUAUCCCAACGAAAGUUGUAAGAUCCCUUGAAGACGACGAGGUAGAUAGGACAGAGGUGGAAGUGUGGUAACACAUGGAGCUGACUGUUACUAAUAGGUCGAGGGCAUAACC